GCAUAUGCUAGAAUUUCAGAUUGAUGUCUCUCAAAAUCUCACUGCAUGCUAGUCUGAAACAUUUAUGAACUUGGAAAGUCUUACCUGAUUAGUGCUAUCAAGUGUAGGAUACCCAGGAUAAGUUCAGUAAGCUACUCCUCUGGAAAAAUCUAUUAUCAAGGUCCACAUAAGUCCAUGUGAAAAGAGUUUUAAAAAUCAUGGUAUUUUCCUAAGAGACUCUUAAAUACCCACAACAAACCGGGAGUCGCUGGAGAGGAAGUUGGUGGAGAGAUGGGCUAAAGGGGUGAUGGGACUUGUUGGGAUGAGCACUGCAAUAUAAGAACUUCCUAUGGAGAAAAAUCUGCUGCUCCAGGAGAGAGCCCAAGCGAUUUCAUUGCAAACUUGCAACUUCAAGUGCACAGCAUGUUAAUGUUGUUUCUGCCUCUCUCUAUCCCCAUGGCUGCAGCUUCUUUGGGGGGGCUCAUGUUUACUCAGUCUGCAUGAAUAAACCAUAA
Molecule: long non-coding RNA, 494 nt
Organism: Suricata suricatta (meerkat)
Lineage: Eukaryota; Metazoa; Chordata; Mammalia; Carnivora; Herpestidae
Exons: 4
Source: RefSeq, a predicted model, not a curated record